UGUACUUCGCUGCCUAUACCUGAGUGCAU
Molecule: non-coding RNA, 29 nt
Filed under: Mus musculus (house mouse)
Lineage: Eukaryota; Metazoa; Chordata; Mammalia; Rodentia; Muridae
Source: RNAcentral